UACGUAGGGUGCAAGCGUUGUCCGGAAUUAUUGGGCGUAAAGAGCUCGUAGGCGGUCUGUUGCGUCGGCUGUGAAAACCCGGGGCUCAACCCCGGGCCUGCAGCCGAUACGGGCAGACUAGAGUUCGGCAGGGGAGACUGGAAUUCCUGGUGUAGCGGUGAAAUGCGCAGAUAUCAGGAGGAACACCGGUGGCGAAGGCGGGUCUCUGGGCCGAUACUGACGCUGAGGCGCGAAGGCUAGGGGAGCGAACGGG
This 253-nucleotide ribosomal RNA is filed under the name uncultured bacterium. RNAcentral describes it as "partial 16S ribosomal RNA". It matches the Rfam family "Bacterial small subunit ribosomal RNA", at positions 524 to 776 of the family's 1533-position model. The record is from RNAcentral.